GAUGAACGCUGGCGGCGUGCUUAAUACAUGCCAGUCGAGCGAACAGACCAGGCGCUUGCUCCUCUGACGUUAGCGGCGGACGGGUGAGUAACACGUGGAUCACCUCCCUAUAUUACUGGGAUAACUUCGGGAAACCGGAGCUAACACCGGAUAAUAUAUUGAACCGCAUGGUUCAAUAGUGAAUUACGGUUUUGCUGUCUCUUAUAGAUGGAUCCGGGCCGUAUUAGCUAGUUGGUAAGGUCACGGCUUUCCAAGGCAACCAUGCGUAGACGAAGUGAGAGAGUGGUAGGCCACAUGGGAGCUUAGACACGGUCCAGACUCCUACGGGAGGCAGCAGUAGGGAAUGGGCGGCAAUGGGCGAAAGCCUGACGGAACAGCGCGGAGUCAGUGAUGAAAGUCUUGGGAGCGGAAUACUCGGUUAUUAGGGAAGAACAAAUGUGGAAUGAACUAUGCACGGCGUGACGGUACCGAGUAAGAAAGCCACGGCUAACUACGUG
This 497-nucleotide ribosomal RNA is filed under the name uncultured bacterium. RNAcentral's name for it is "partial 16S ribosomal RNA". It matches the Rfam family "Bacterial small subunit ribosomal RNA", at positions 28 to 507 of the family's 1533-position model. The record is from RNAcentral.